AUUGAACGCUGGCGGCAUGCCUUACACAUGCAAGUCGAACGGCAGCACGGGGCAACCUGGUGGCGAGUGGCGAACGGGUGAGUAAUGCAUCGGAACGUGCCAUUGAGUGGGGGAUAACGUAGCGAAAGUUGCGCUUAUACCGCAUAUUCUGUGAGCAGGAAAGCAGGGGACCGCAAGGCCUUGCGCUCUUUGAGCGGCCGAUGUCAGAUUAGCUAGUUGGUGAGGUAACGGCUUACCAAGGCGACGAUCUGUAGCGGGUCUGAGAGGAUGAUCCGCCACACUGGAACUGAGACACGGUCCAGACUCCUACGGAGGCAGCAGUGGGGAAUUUUGGACAAUGGGCGCAAGCCUGAUCCAGCCAUGCCGCGUGAGUGAAGAAGGCCU
RNAcentral lists this ribosomal RNA (384 nucleotides) under uncultured bacterium. RNAcentral's name for it is "bacterial SSU rRNA". It matches the Rfam family "Bacterial small subunit ribosomal RNA", at positions 30 to 417 of the family's 1533-position model. The record is from RNAcentral.